CAAUAGCGUAUAUUAAAGUUGUUGCAGUUAAAAAGCUCGUAGUUGGAUUUCGGGGCAGCCUGGCUGGUCCGCCGCAAGGCGAGUACUGGUCAGCCGCCCUUCCUCUCGAAAGCCCCGACUGCUCUUCGUUGCAGUGGUCGGGUAGUUCGGGACGUUUACUUUGAAAAAAUUAGAGUGUUCAAGGCAGGCCUACGCCUGAAUACAUUAGCAUGGAAUAAUGGAAGAGGACCUCGGUCCUAUUUUGUUGGUUUCCAGGGCCGAAGUAAUGAUUAAGAGGGACAGUUGGGGGCAUUCGUAUUUAAUUGUCAGAGGUGAAAUUCUCGGAUUUAUGAAAGACGAACGACUGCGAAAGCAUUUGCCAAGGAUGUUUUCAUUAA
RNAcentral lists this ribosomal RNA (377 nucleotides) under uncultured eukaryote. RNAcentral's name for it is "partial 18S ribosomal RNA". It matches the Rfam family "Eukaryotic small subunit ribosomal RNA", at positions 592 to 976 of the family's 1831-position model. The record is from RNAcentral.